GGUACCUAAAGCCAACAAUAAUAUAACAACACACAAAAGGUUAGUCCAGAUAUUGUCCAUACUAAUAAAUCAAUUAAAAAAUCAUCAUCUUUACAUUAAAAAGUUUUAAUGCACAGGACUGUAAGGACUGCCCAAUUUAGUGUGGCAUUAUUUCAAAGGUCUUAAUUCUCAACUUGAGUCACGUCCAUGAGAUCUAAAUAAAAAGUGCAAACUAAAUAACAAUAUCUGAAUCAAAAAUAAAAGUAAUAAUAGUAAUAUUACGCAUAGGUUCAUCUCUUGAAGAACUGUGCAAGCAUAAAAUAAAAAUAUCUUACCACUACCAUCACGGAA
This 330-nucleotide unclassified non-coding RNA is filed under the name Hevea brasiliensis (rubber tree). Lineage: Eukaryota; Viridiplantae; Streptophyta; Magnoliopsida; Malpighiales; Euphorbiaceae. The record is from RNAcentral.